Molecule: long non-coding RNA, 564 nt
Filed under: Oryctolagus cuniculus (rabbit)
Lineage: Eukaryota; Metazoa; Chordata; Mammalia; Lagomorpha; Leporidae
Description: lncRNA (ENSOCUG00000030641.1)
Source: RNAcentral
UUUAAAUAUUCUGAGAGAAGAAUUUGGAGUAUUCUCAGGCACCACAGGCUAGAAGACAUUGGUACUUCUCUCAGUAAAGGCGAUCUUCAGGUUCCAACCCUGGAGCUUUCAUGCCUUCAGGAGGAAGAGUGCCUGAGAAGCAUGCUGUCUUUGCGAUCUAGAACAAACUUUGUCCUUUCUAGAAUAGGAGGAGACAACAAGGCGAGUCUGAAACUGAAAGGGAAGGUCUGCGUGUUGAGGCUGGUUGUCCAAGGUAAGUGUUCCCUUCUCCAUUUACUGUAGGAGCAGCGCAGUGUGUAACAUACGAAGUUUGCACAUUCCUGCAGCUUGGUUUCGAGUCCCAGAAUUCUUACUGAUGCGAUGUUGAUAGUGUGGUUGCCUAAUGAACCAGUUCUAGACUCAGCUUUUAACGUAAAACUAAAAGAGAUGAAAGACUUGCAGAUUUUCAGACCCUGGAAACCCUAGAUCUAGAUAACACAAAAAGGCGCUUCUCCCCUUAGUAGUCAGGAUUGUCAUGGUUACCUAUAAAACAGUAUUUGCAUUUCAAAGAAAUCCACAUUUUUU